RNAcentral lists this ribosomal RNA (507 nucleotides) under uncultured bacterium. RNAcentral describes it as "partial 16S ribosomal RNA". It matches the Rfam family "Bacterial small subunit ribosomal RNA", at positions 28 to 507 of the family's 1533-position model. The record is from RNAcentral.
GACGAACGCUGGCGGCGUGCUUAACACAUGCAAGUCGAACGGGCCUUGUCCCCUUUUUUUUGGGGGUGGGGUUAGUGGCGAACGGGUGAGUAACACGUGAGUAACCUGCCCCUCACUUCUGGAUAACCGCUUGAAAGGGUGGCUAAUACGGGGUGUUCUGGCCUGCUCGCAUGGGUGGGUUUGGAAAGAUUCGACCGGUUUUGGUUGUUUUGGUGGGGGAUGGGCUCGCGGCCUAUCAGCUUGUUGGUGGGGUGAUGGCCUGCCAAGGCUUUGACGGGUAGCCGGCCUGAGAGGGUGGGCGGUCACACUGGGACUGAGACACGGCCCAGACUCCUGCGAGGGGCAGCAGUGGGGAAUAUUGCACAAGGGGCGCACGCCGGAUGCAGCGACGCCGCGUGAGGGAUGGAGGCCUUCGGGUUGAGAACCUCUUUCGCCAGUGAAGAAGGUCCUGCUCUUUGUGGUGGGGUUGACGGUAGCUGGGUUAAUGAAGCGCCGGCUAACUACGUG